Zonotrichia leucophrys gambelii is the source of this 722-nucleotide long non-coding RNA. RefSeq lists it as uncharacterized. NCBI's taxonomy places the organism in Eukaryota, Metazoa, Chordata, Aves, Passeriformes, Passerellidae. The transcript has 3 exons. The record is from RefSeq and is a predicted model, not a curated record.
GCACAGGCUUUGCCGUGGGAUAAAGCUCUGGCUCUUUUGGGAUCCCUGCCCUUCACAGCUCCAUCUCCACCACUGACUGCAGAAUUACCUUCAAGCUUUUCCCUGCUUGCUGCUAGAACAGAAGACAAAGAGCCUUCCCAAGAGCUGGAUUUUGGUGGAUUCAGAACCCACACAUGCCCUGGGAGGAAUUUUUUCCCGAGCUGACCCUGAUUCAUUGUCAGGAUCGCGCCAGGCAUCGCUGUGACCCAGGGACAGCAGGAUCAGAUGUUAAAGCUCUGAGCCCAGGGCUCAGCAGCAGGAGGGCUCGUUCCUGCUGGGAUCAGCCCAGACAUUUUUUAUCCAUAUCAAGAGGAAGUUUGGAACUAGAUUUUAUCUGUUUCCCAGAAGCCGCUGAGUGCUUUCAUGUGAAAUGAAGAGUUUGCUGUCAAAAAACAAAAUUUUGGAGCCAUCGGGGCCCUUUGCUUGAUUUUGUCCCGAGGAAUUGAAGCAGUUUAGUGUGGGAUGGCCACAAUGUUAAUGCCCUCCUUCCAAUACACAUCUCGAAUUCCCUUCCCACCUAAACACGCCCUCAGCCCCUGCUUAGGAACACAAAAAAAGGAGAAUUAGGCCACACCUGAGCACUCAGCGCUCCUAAAGUGACCCAGCUGAGUAAACCAAAGGGAUUGCAGCAAGCCUUUCAUCUCCUAAUGGGAUCCCUUUGUGUUGAUUUUAGCACUUUCUCC